UAGGGAAUCUUCCACAAUGGACGAAAGUCUGAUGGAGCAACGCCGCGUGAGUGAAGAAGGGUUUCGGCUCGUAGAACUCUGUUGUUAAAGAAGAACAUAUCUGAGAGUAACUGUUCAGGUAUUGACGGUAUUUAACCAGAAAGCCACGGCUAACUACGUGCCAG
This 164-nucleotide ribosomal RNA is filed under the name uncultured bacterium. RNAcentral's name for it is "partial 16S rRNA". It matches the Rfam family "Bacterial small subunit ribosomal RNA", at positions 355 to 511 of the family's 1533-position model. The record is from RNAcentral.